AACGAACGCUAGCGGCAUGCCUAACACAUGCAAGUCGAACGAGACCUUCGGGUCUAGUGGCGCACGGGUGCGUAACGCGUGGGAACCUGCCCUUAGGUUCGGAAUAACUCCCCGAAAGGGGUGCUAAUACCGGAUAAUGUCUUCGGACCAAAGAUUUAUCGCCUUUGGAUGGGCCCGCGUUGGAUUAGCUAGUUGGUAGGGUAAAAGCCUACCAAGGCGACGAUCCAUAGCUGGUCUGAGAGGAUGAUCAGCCACACUGGGACUGAGACACGGCCCAGACUCCUACGGGAGGCAGCAGUGGGGAAUAUUGGACAGUGGGCGAAAGCCUGAUCCAGCAAUGCCGCGUGAGUGAUGAAGGCCUUAGGGUUGUAAAGCUCUUUUACCCGGGAUGAUAAUGACAGUACCGGGAGAAUAAGCGCCGGCUAACUCCGUG
RNAcentral lists this ribosomal RNA (433 nucleotides) under uncultured bacterium. Its description in RNAcentral is "partial 16S ribosomal RNA". It matches the Rfam family "Bacterial small subunit ribosomal RNA", at positions 29 to 507 of the family's 1533-position model. The record is from RNAcentral.